UACGUAGGUGGCAAGCGUUGUCCGGAUUUAUUGGGUUUAAAGGGUGCGUAGGCGGCUUUUUAAGUCAGUGGUGAAAGCCGAUCGCUUAACGAUCGAACUGCCAUUGAUACUGAGUGGCUUGAGUAUAGUUGGGGUAGGCGGAAUUGACAGUGUAGCGGUGAAAUGCAUAGAUAUUGUCAAGAACACCGAGUGCGAAGGCAGCUUACUAAACUAUAACUGACGCUGAGGCACGAAAGCGUGGGUAUCAAACAGG
Molecule: ribosomal RNA, 253 nt
Filed under: uncultured bacterium
Lineage: Bacteria
Description: partial 16S ribosomal RNA
Rfam family: Bacterial small subunit ribosomal RNA
Source: RNAcentral